This 398-nucleotide ribosomal RNA is filed under the name uncultured bacterium. RNAcentral describes it as "partial 16S ribosomal RNA". It matches the Rfam family "Bacterial small subunit ribosomal RNA", at positions 338 to 754 of the family's 1533-position model. The record is from RNAcentral.
CCUACGUGCGGCAGCAGUGGGGAAUAUUGCACAAUGGGCGAAAGCCUGAUGCAGCAACGCCGCGUGAGAGAUGAAGGCCUUCGGGUCGUAAAGCUCUGUCCUCAAGGAAGAGAAUGACGGUACUUGAGGAGGAAACCCCGGCUAACGACGUGCCAGCAGCCGCGGUAAUACGUAGGGGGCGAGCGUUAUCCGGAAUUACUGGGCGUAAGGGGGGCGGAGGUGGUUUCUUAAGGCAGAGGUGAAAGGCUACGGCUCAACCGUAGUCAGCCUUUGAAACUGGGAAACUUGAGUGCAGGGUAGGCGAGUGGUAUUCCUCGUGUAGCGGUGAAUUGCGUAGAUAUUAGGAGGACCACCAGUUGCGACGGCGGCUCUCUGGACUGUAACUGACACUGAGGCAC